RNAcentral lists this unclassified non-coding RNA (434 nucleotides) under soil metagenome. RNAcentral's name for it is "partial contains 5.8S ribosomal RNA, internal transcribed spacer 2, and large subunit ribosomal RNA". The stretch from base 1 to 120 matches the Rfam family "5.8S ribosomal RNA", at positions 35 to 154 of the family's 154-position model. The record is from RNAcentral.
GAUGAAGAACGCAGCGAAAUGCGAUACGUAAUGUGAAUUGCAGAAUUCAGUGAAUCAUCGAAUCUUUGAACGCAUAUUGCGCUCUUUGGUAUUCCGAAGAGCAUGCUUGUUUGAGUAUCAGUAAACACCUCAAAGCUUUUGGAUUUUUUAAUCGAAAAGCUUUGGACUUGAGCAAUCCCAACACCAAUCUUUUUGAGAUCGGUGGCGGGUUGCUUGAAAUGCAGGUGCAGCUGGACAUUCUCCUGAGCUAAAAGCAUAUUCAUUUAGUCCCGUCAAACGGAUUAUUACUUUUGCUGCAGCUAACAUAAAGGGAGUUUGACCGUAUUGGCUGACUGAUGCAGGAUUUCACAAGGGUCGGCAACGAUUCUUGUUAAACUCGAUCUCAAAGCAAGUAAGACUACCCGCUGAACUUAAGCAUAUCAAUAAGCGGAGGA